RNAcentral lists this long non-coding RNA (2611 nucleotides) under Lytechinus variegatus (green sea urchin). Its description in RNAcentral is "uncharacterized LOC121428143". Lineage: Eukaryota; Metazoa; Echinodermata; Echinoidea; Temnopleuroida; Toxopneustidae. The record is from RNAcentral.
UUACGAUAUGAAAACAGAAUUCUGGUGGUUCUCUUCUUAGCAACUGGAUGGAUCUUACCCGCAUUCAUCACAUACAAGUUCAUUGACUUGUCGAUGAGAUGGGAGGAGUGGCCGACGAAGGAAGAUAAACUACUCCCAACAUGUAUCAUAGUCUGUGGGAUACUAGGUCUCAUCAUACGUGUGUUUCUCGUGGUCGUAUGCGUUCAUCUUACCGUGAAUUUCGGUCAUGGACUUGGAGAAAAGGUUUAUGGAGCAAGAAAGCGAACCGACACGACGGAUAACCUCACCAAUCCACCCGUUCAAAGAAGAACACGAACCCGGUUGCUUCCUAUCCGGCCUUUCAGCUGGCCCCAGUUCUCCCUUAGCAGCCGACAGCAGCAGCAACAUUUCCCGCUAGACAGGCUGGCCGAGAGGUCCCUAAGUGGAGUCGGCUGAUUGCCAUCAUAUCGCAUUCUAAGUUGCGUUCAUAGUUCAUUUGUGAGACCGGUUAUCCGUUGAUUAUCAAUUUAUAGGAAUAGAUAACCGGUAUCAGUAUAUUUGAGGGAUAUAAAUAAUAUCAAGUACAUUUAUCCCCUUUGUCUUUCACUGCAGUGCUUUGCAAUUUAUUUAUUUUAUCAAUCAAACAACAGAUUGUUUCACUAGUGUUUUUUUUUAAUCACAUAGCCUUUUUCAUUAAGGAUUUUUGACAAAAGAAAAAGGGGCCUACUUUUUGGAAAUUUACCACACCGCUGUCAUUCAUUUAAACAGGUAGAUCUACUGUACUCGUUAUUGCAGAAAAUGAAUACUUUAAGGGUAAAUAAUCUAGUGAUCACUGCUGUGUAUAAUAUACUUGCCUAAUACCUUAUUUUUUGUCUUGCUGCUUAGCAGAGCGAGACUACAGGCGCCGCAUUUUCCGACAACGGCGGUGGCGGCGUCAACAUUGAAAUCUUAACGAACGUCAAGUUCUUGAAAUGUCGUCAUAACUCUAAAAGAGUGUGACUCAAGUUCAUGCAACUUGGACAUAAGAGCAAUCAAGUAUUACUUAACAUCCUGUGUGAGUUUCAGGUGACAUGAAAUAGGUCAAAACUUAUUUCGGGUCAAGGAAGUUUGACCAUGUUUGAGGUAUUUGUUAUAUUGCUAUCAUAACUUUGAAAGUAUACGGAUCUAAACAGUCAAUGAAUCUUUGACAUAAAGCGUAAUCUAGUAUGACUGAAUAUCCUGCGUGAGGUCAGGUCGCAUGACCAAGUUCAAAUGUCAUUUACGGUCAGUGAACUUUGGCCAUGGUGGGGAUAUUGGUAGAAUUGGCAUCAUAACUUUAAAAGCUUAAUGGAUCUGGUUCAUGAAACAUGGACAUAUUCGGGUAAUCGCAUGAGCCUUAGAUUAUAAUUAUGAUCGAGGUCAAAUGUCAUCUAUGUUCCGAUAUGAAUAUCAUAUUUUAUUAUCAUGAAUGGUGUUUUCUGAAUAAUUAUACAGUAGUCGUUUUCAAAGUCAGCACUGCUGCUUUAUUGAAUCUCGUAAUGCAGGCGAGGACUGCCAGAUGCGUUUAUAUUGCUAAAAAGUAAAAAAAACAAAAAAAACAGUGUUUGUGCUAAAAUAUAGUUACCUACGGAGCCUUUAAAGUGCCAUCGACCUGACGACUUGGCGAGAUACGGUAUCUCUUAGCCGAGUUAUAAAAAGUUAUAUGUCGACAUGGCGAGAUUCGGUAUCUUGCCAAGUCGACUUAUAAAACAAGGCAAGAUACUAAGUGUCCAAGGCUCGGCGAGAGUCCAAAUAUCUCGCGAAGUUGACAUAAUAAGCAUGAUAAGGUUAUUAUCUCGACAUGACAAGAUAAAGUAUUUCGCCAAGUCGUCAAGUGAUGGCACUUUGAAGGCUCCUUAGUUACCCGUUGUUGAUUUGCAAGUUUUGGUAGGGCACUCUGAAACUAAUAUGAUGAAUUAAACAUUUACAUUGGGUUGGGCAAAAGAUGAAUAAACAGAUAAGCUAGUUAAACUCGUUCAAGGGUGAUCCAAACUUGGUAAGUAAAAAAAAAAUGGUGAAAGUUUGAAAGAAGUCGCACAAGCAAUAAUAAAGUUUCGACUGUUUUGAAAUUGAAAUCCCUUAAAUAUGUAAAUUUCAAAUCGGCAACUGGGUAAGUAAAUCAUGACAAGUUGGAAGGAUAUUUUUUUAUAGGCCAUGUACUUAAUUAUGAAGGAUUGUGCUUUUCUCUCAAGUAACUAUUCGUAUUAUAACGAAAUAAAGCAUAAUGCAUAUAUCCUCAUGAAAGGAAAUGUACCUUCAAAUAAAAUGUUUGAAAGAAAGGACAAUUUAACAUUUUUAUGUAUUUGAGUAAAUGGGAGGGUAGUCCUUGUUCACCAUGAUAUCACCAAUGCGGCCAAUUCGAUUUUGUCAAAGCAUUCAUCCAUGUACUUGUCUGGAUUUGUUUUCUUCCGAUUGAAAUAACCGUUUUAUUUGAGUUGGAUUCCCCUACUGAUAAACGUACAGAGCAUCAUCAUUGUGGGGUGCUGUGGUCAAGUUGUUAUGACUCUUGUCUGUCAAUCUGAGGGACAUGGGUUCUAUUCCCAGCCAUUGUGUUAGCCUUCAUCCAGAAAUUUGCCCAACUGUGCUACACGCAACCCAGAUGAGGUGAAUGGGU